UUUAUGGAGAGUUUGAUCCUGGCUCAGGAUGAACGCUGGCGGCGUGCCUAAUACAUGCAAGUCGAGCGAACAGAUAAGGAGCUUGCUCCUUUGACGUUAGCGGCGGACGGGUGAGUAACACGUGGGUAACCUACCUAUAAGACUGGAAUAACUCCGGGAAACCGGGGCUAAUGCCGGAUAACAUGUUGAACCGCAUGGUUCUACAGUGAAAGACGGUCUUGCUGUCACUUAUAGAUGGACCCGCGCCGUAUUAGCUAGUUGGUGGGGUAACGGCCUACCAAGGCGACGAUACGUAGCCGACCUGAGAGGGUGAUCGGCCACACUGGAACUGAGACACGGUCCAGACUCCUACGGGAGGCAGCAGUAGGGAAUCUUCCGCAAUGGGCGAAAGCCUGACGGAGCAACGCCGCGUGAGUGAUGAAGGUCUUCGGAUCGUAAAGCUCUGUUGU
RNAcentral lists this ribosomal RNA (449 nucleotides) under Staphylococcus pseudintermedius. Its description in RNAcentral is "bacterial SSU rRNA". It matches the Rfam family "Bacterial small subunit ribosomal RNA", at positions 1 to 439 of the family's 1533-position model. Lineage: Bacteria; Bacillati; Bacillota; Bacilli; Caryophanales; Staphylococcaceae. The record is from RNAcentral.